GAUGAAGAACGCAGCGAAAUGCGAUAAGUAAUGUGAAUUGCAGAAUUCCGUGAAUCAUCGAAUCUUUGAACGCACAUUGCGCCCCCUGGCAUUCUGGGGGGCAUGCCUGUCCGAGCGUCAUUUCUGCCCUCCAGCCCGGCUGGGUGUUGGGCGCUGUCCCCCCGGGGACACGCCCCAAAGGCAGUGGCGGCGCCGCGUCGGGUCCUCGAGCGUAUGGGGCUUUGUCACCCGCUCGGGACGGACUCGUCGGCGCUGGUCUUCCUCCAGGCGACCCUUCGGGGCUCGUCUUCCUUCGGUUGACCUCGGAUCAGGUAGGGUUACCCGCUGAACUUAAGCAUAUCAAUAAGCGGAGGA
This 354-nucleotide unclassified non-coding RNA is filed under the name soil metagenome. RNAcentral's name for it is "partial contains 5.8S ribosomal RNA, internal transcribed spacer 2, and large subunit ribosomal RNA". The stretch from base 1 to 120 matches the Rfam family "5.8S ribosomal RNA", at positions 35 to 154 of the family's 154-position model. The record is from RNAcentral.